Molecule: ribosomal RNA, 465 nt
Filed under: uncultured bacterium
Lineage: Bacteria
Description: partial 16S ribosomal RNA
Rfam family: Bacterial small subunit ribosomal RNA
Source: RNAcentral
GACGAACGCUGGCGGCGUGCUUAACACAUGCAAGUCGAACGGUAAGGCUCCAGCUUGCUGGGGUACACGAGUGGCGAACGGGUGAGUAACACGUGGGUGACCUGCCCUGCACUUCGGGAUAAGCCUGGGAAACUGGGUCUAAUACCGGAUAGGACCGCACCGUGAGGGUGUGGUGGAAAGUUUUUUCGGUGUGGGAUGGGCCCGCGGCCUAUCAGCUUGUUGGUGGGGUAAUGGCCUACCAAGGCGGCGACGGGUAGCCGGCCUGAGAGGGUGGACGGCCACAUUGGGACUGAGACACGGCCCAGACUCCUACGGGAGGCAGCAGUGGGGAAUAUUGCACAAUGGGCGGAAGCCUGAUGCAGCGACGCCGCGUGGGGGAUGACGGCCUUCGGGUUGUAAACUCCUUUCACCAUAGACGAAGGGUUUCUGACGGUAGAUGGAGAAGAAGCACCGGCUAACUACGUG